This 2841-nucleotide ribosomal RNA is filed under the name Triticum aestivum (bread wheat). Its description in RNAcentral is "partial small subunit ribosomal RNA". Lineage: Eukaryota; Viridiplantae; Streptophyta; Magnoliopsida; Poales; Poaceae. The record is from RNAcentral.
AUGGCCAUGGCUGGUCCAGCUUGCAGAUUUCUCUCGUGUUUUUUGUGUUUUGUAGCAUGUCUUCUCGUUAUGGAGUCUGCUUUGUCUGCCCAUUCAUGGUGCACCCCACAUCCGAACCCGAAGGGAGAAGUGGAGUUUAAGCAGAAGACAGAUAAGUUCUGGGAGUACCAGGAGCAGAGCAAUACCUGGGUGGAAAUAAGCAUGCCUUUCAAUCUCAUGUCCUGCAUCAACGGCACCUGCACAAAGGUAGGCUCGAUCAAGCAACCAGAAAGCAAACAUGGCCGUGCUUCCGUCUCGAGUCAAGAGAAGGAUACUGAUCCCGUCCUGACCAUAAGGAAAAGAAUCUCCUUGGCAAGGAUGUCAGAGUCGUCCGUGUGGGUGACAGGCCAAAGUGGAUCAAUCUAUGAGAGGUUCUGGAACGGGGUCAUGUGGGUGAUUGCUCCUCAUGAGCUUCCAACAGCGGCUGGGUAUGCAACAGCAACUUUCAUCGUCAACACAACCAUCCUUGCUCUGUCCGAGGCUGGAAUCCUCUACCAGCUACAGCUAAAUGAACAUGCCCAGCCUAUCUGGACUGAGAUGACAUUCAGCUAUGAACAACAUUUCACAAACCUUGGAGAGAAGACACAAAGUCAAGCUACACACAUAAAAAAUGGGGUCGUAUCACAUAAUGGAAGGAAACUUUUCCUUUCUAUCACGAAUGGGUCCCUAAUUGAGGUCACAGAACUUCAGCCUCUAAGGUGGAAUUGCCAUGGGCGUCCCCCAGGAGCAGAUGUAUCAUAUAUAUCUGAUGCUGAAAAUGCAAGACCAGGGACCGUGUUCACAGUAAGUUCUACUGGAGACCUAUAUGAAUUUGAUAAGGAAACGAAGCCAUCAUGGAAAAAGCAUAUAUGGAGUGAACAAACAACCAAAAAUGUCUCGCUGAGCUCAUCUGUUGGGUGUGCUUUGCAUGGUCUCUUAGGCUCUAAUUCAGUAUCACUCUUUCUGAUAACCAAGGAUGGUCUUUUAGUGGAGCGGCGCUUGCAUAGAAGAAAGUGGAAGUGGGAUAAACAUGGAGCACCUAAGGGUCAAAGACUAAGUUCAAUUACAGAAGUUCAACAGGAUGAAUCUAAUGAUGCGACUUCAAUGUUUUUUACAACAACCACAGGAAAAGUAUUUGAGUAUCAGUUUACAAAAUAUACAGCAAUUCUUAAGUUCCAAGAAGAAACUAAGUUGACAUUGUUUAUCUUCUCCAUUGGACAAGGUGGGGCUUCAAGCAAUAAGAUUAGAGGACUAUGGGUAAAUCACAUGUCUCCUGACCAUGCAAAAGUAGCAGCAAGUGUUCGAGGUCUACAGAUUCAAGUUGGCAGAUUGAUAUUCCAGCUAGAUGAUGGUAGGCUUGGAGAGCUACAUUUACCUGGCAUGGGAGGUGAUCAUUUUGGUCCAAGUCAACAAAAUAGCAUAAGAAGGAAACUGCCAAACAAGUAUGAGUGGUCUAUCCUAGAUACACCAGAAACAGAAGGUUGGAAUGCAGAAUAUUGCACUGAAGAGCAUGGCCCUACAAACUGUAUUACUGGAGCGAUGAAUGUAGCUGCAGAUACGGAACCAACCAACCUGAGCAAUGCCCCACCUAGAAGGCGUAAAGCAGAAGAGAAGCAACACUACCUUCAUGGUCAUAGUCAUGAGAGUGAUGAAACUGAAUCAUACAACAUUCUAUCACGAAGCAUUUAUCUUAACUUCCAUAUGCGGGUGAUGCAUGCAGAUAGAUCACUUUUCCUCAUAACAGAUAACGGAUUAACUUUGGAAUAUCUAAACAGCAAUGGUGUUUGGCUAUGGCUAAGACAUGAACACAUUACAGGCAUGAAGGGUACACUAGGAAGCUAUAAUGGCAGCUUGUAUCUUGUUGAUCUUCAUGGGAACUUACAUAUUAGAGAAAGAAAUGGUGACGAACUCUUAUGGAUUAAUUGCACAGCAAUGAGGAAGGGAAGACAGGUUGCAAGUGGGCCUCCAUGGGAUGGCAUCCCUGGGUUAUCACGCAGAGUGACAACAGAUGAUGCACUUUUCUUUGUUAACAAGAGAGGCAGAUUGCUACAAUUCACGGUGGCAUUGCGUAAAUUCAAGUGGAAGGACUGCCACAGCCCUCCGGAUACCAAGGUUGCAUUCAUCGUGGAUCAGGAGGUGUUUAGAAGAAAUAUCAUCUUCGUGGUCGGCCGGAACGGUCGGAUGUACCAGUAUAACAGAAUUACAGAGCUAUGGCACAGGCACUACCAAUCACCUCACCUCGUCCUGUCAAGAUCCCCUGGGACAGCGAUGAGGCCGUCCCCUCUCUCCCUCACCGGCUCCAUCUUCAUGAUUUCCGAGCAUGGGGGCCUCGUGGAGUACCAUUUCAGCCCGCAGGACGGGUGGGAGUGGGUAGAGCACGGGACGCCCCACCGGGACGUCACCCUCGUGGUCGCCCCAGGGCCGUGCUUCGACGGCACCCAGUUGUUCGUCAUCGGGUCCGACGGACACGUCUACCUGCGGCACCUGGACGAGCGAACGUGGAGGUGGACGAGCCACGGGCACCCGUCGGAACCAUCCAGCACGACGACGGACGUCGCCGGCGGCGGCGAGCAGAGCUGCGCCACGCUGGGCGCCGCGGACGCGCACUACGCGAGCAGCUUCAGGGGGAGCUGCGACGAAAAGGUGGCGGCUGUGCGGCCGGUGCCGUUCUCCAAGGACGCGGUGGUCUUCGAACUGCGCGACGGCCGGUUGGCGGAGCUGCGGCGUGCGGCGGAGGGUCGAGGCGGGUGGGAGUGGGCGCGGAUCAUCGGCACGCCCGCCAGCGCCUGCAUGACAAGCUACUGGACGGCCGUCGCCACGUAG